AUGAGCUAUGCUGUUGAGAACUGUGUAUCCUUGAAACUUUACUUUCAAAAAAAUGGACAAGGUAUUAUGCCACACAUCUUCAGAAAUGAAAACAUGAAAUGGCAGAGAACCACUGUGUUCUUUCAAGUAUUGCAUUUUACAUAAAGAGAUCAUCCAGAGUACCUCAUCUGCAUCUGUGACAUGCU
Molecule: long non-coding RNA, 185 nt
Filed under: Anser cygnoides (Swan goose)
Lineage: Eukaryota; Metazoa; Chordata; Aves; Anseriformes; Anatidae
Description: lncRNA (ENSACDG00005010806.1)
Source: RNAcentral